CUUAUCAAGAGCGGCUUCGUGCGUUAUGCGGGGGACUGGUCCCUAUGAAGCCCGGCAACCUCUCCUGUUGAUACCCGUGGUUUUCCACGGUGCGGAGGGAAAAGGUGCUACUUCCUGCGGCGGUUAUCCGGCCGAAAGAUAAGG
This 144-nucleotide non-coding RNA is filed under the name human gut metagenome. Its description in RNAcentral is "SAM riboswitch (S box leader)". It matches the Rfam family "SAM riboswitch aptamer (S box leader)". Rfam says of the family: The SAM riboswitch is found upstream of a number of genes which code for proteins involved in methionine or cysteine biosynthesis in Gram-positive bacteria. The SAM riboswitch acts at the level of transcription termination control. RNAcentral also lists the same sequence under 1 other name. The record is from RNAcentral.